Molecule: ribosomal RNA, 260 nt
Filed under: uncultured rumen bacterium
Lineage: Bacteria
Description: partial 16S ribosomal RNA
Rfam family: Bacterial small subunit ribosomal RNA
Source: RNAcentral
GAGGUAGGCGGAAUUUGUGGUGUAGCGGUGAAAUGCUUAGAUAUCACGAAGAACUCCGAUUGCGAAGGCAGCCUACCAGGAUGUAACUGACGCUAAAGCUCGAAAGUGCGGGUAUCGAACAGGAUUAGAUACCCUGGUAGUCCGCACGGUAAACGAUGGAUGCCCGCUGUUGGCGAUAUACAGUCAGCGGCCAAGCGAAAGCGUUAAGCAUCCCACCUGGGGAGUACGCCGGCAACGGUGAAACUCAAAAGAAUUGACGG